This is a non-coding RNA of Stegodyphus mimosarum, 73 nucleotides long. Lineage: Eukaryota; Metazoa; Arthropoda; Arachnida; Araneae; Eresidae. The record is from Rfam.
GCUUUCGUGGUGUAGUCGUCAGCACGCUCGACGCGUAUUCGAGAGGUCCGUGGUUCGAGUCCCGGCUAGGGCA